Molecule: ribosomal RNA, 1183 nt
Filed under: Proteus mirabilis
Lineage: Bacteria; Pseudomonadati; Pseudomonadota; Gammaproteobacteria; Enterobacterales; Morganellaceae
Description: partial 23S ribosomal RNA
Rfam family: Bacterial large subunit ribosomal RNA
Source: RNAcentral
AGCGGGACAUUUGAGGAUGGGGUGACUGCGUACCUUUUGUAUAAUGGGUCAGCGACUUAUAUUCUGUAGCAAGGUUAACCGUAUAGGGGAGCCGUAGGGAAACCGAGUCUUAACUGGGCGAAUGAGUUGCAGGGUAUAGACCCGAAACCCGGUGAUCUAUCCAUGGGCAGGUUGAAGGUUGGGUAACACUAACUGGAGGACCGAACCGACUAAUGUUGAAAAAUUAGCGGAUGACUUGUGGAUGGGGGUGAAAGGCCAAUCAAACCGGGAGAUAGCUGGUUCUCCCCGAAAGCUAUUUAGGUAGCGCCUCGUGAACUCAUCUUCGGGGGUAGAGCACUGUUUCGACUAGGGGGUCAUCCCGACUUACCAACUCGAUGCAAACUGCGAAUACCGAAGAAUGUUAUCACGGGAGACACACGGCGGGUGCUAACGUCCGUCGUGAAGAGGGAAACAACCCAGACCGCCAGCUAAGGUCCCAAAGUCAUGGUUAAGUGGGAAACGAAGUGGGAAGGCUCAGACAGCCAGGAUGUUGGCUUAGAAGCAGCCAUCAUUUAAAGAAAGCGUAAUAGCUCACUGGUCGAGUCGGCCCGCGCGGAAGAUGUAACGGGGCUAAACCAUGCACCGAAGCUGCGGCAGCGACACAAAGUGUUGUUGGGUAGGGGAGCGUUCUGUAAGCCUGCGAAGGUGUACUGUGAGGUAUGCUGGAGGUAUCAGAAGUGCGAAUGCUGACAUAAGUAACGAUAAUGCGGGUGAAAAACCCGCACGCCGGAAGACCAAGGGUUCCUGUCCAACGUUAAUCGGGGCAGGGUGAGUCGACCCCUAAGGCGAGGCUGAAAAGCGUAGUCGAUGGGAAACGGGUUAAUAUUCCCGUACUGGUGGUAACUGCGAUGGGGGAACGGAGAAGGCUAGGUUGUCCGGGCGACGGUCGUCCCGGUUCAAGCAGGUAGGCAGAGUGAUUAGGCAAAUCCGGUCACUUAAUGCUGAGAUGUGAUGACGAACCACCAAGGUGGUGAAGCAAUUGAUGCCCCGCUUCCAGGAAAAGCCUCUAAGCUUCAGGUUACCAACAAUCGUACCCCAAACCGACACAGGUGGUCAGGUAGAGAAUACUCAGGCGCUUGAGAGAACUCGGGUGAAGGAACUAGGCAAAAUGGUGCCGUAACUUCGGGAGAAGGCACGCUGGCGG